RNAcentral lists this small RNA (29 nucleotides) under Bombyx mori (domestic silkworm). Its description in RNAcentral is "ovarian small RNA-13407". Lineage: Eukaryota; Metazoa; Arthropoda; Insecta; Lepidoptera; Bombycidae. The record is from RNAcentral.
CAUCGAAGCAACCAUGCCCAGUGAGCACC